CUGGCCCUCGCACCUGCAAGUGAUCACCUCAGAUUCUUCAUUCACUCAAGCUCACUACUUAAGGCAGCAGCUGGGAGUACCUUAUUCACUGGAUUAUUCUGUAACCCCAUUCUGCGUGGCCAGCCUGAAGAUCUAUUGCUGGGACUUUUACGUGAGUGUGUUGACUUUGUGUGGUGAGAACAAGGGAGAGGAUUCCCUGUGGAGAAAGCUAACCGCACGGAGAAGUCUUUUCACUUUCCUGAUUCGUUCGUGAACUCUGGUGACCGCGGACCCCUUUUCCCUCACCUGUAAACUGUGCACGAGGAGUGUUAAAUAAACAAACGUAUCUCUGUGAUUUCAGUCUGCGCCCGAGUCCCUCCUGCAUCUCGUGACAGAUUCUCUCUCUUAACAGGAUAUUAUGACGCUGACAUAGACAUGAAAUGUAUUAGCAACAAAGUGGAUAUGUGGAUACAAUUUUUAUUUUUUAAGGCUUGUAAAAAUCUAACAUUCUGGCUCUGGCUACAACAAGUUGGCCAAAACCAACCAAUAGAAAAAAAUAAGAUAUAUUUAGGAUUAGAAUACAUUUAAAAAAGGCUCAUUGCGAUAGUUCUUACCUGUCAAAUGAUCCCUCCUUUUUGGAGCUAAGCACUGUAUAGAUCAUCAUGUACACCAGUUGACUCUACUGCCUCAUUUGCUGUGACAUUAUUCAUAGUAAUUAAAUAAACCACUAAAACACCCUUGAUUAGACAAUUAUUCGUUUUGCUAUUUUCAGUAAUUCACUGCACUUUCUUUGUUAACUGUUCAUCAUUGCUGUCCUAUCUAGAAAAAAGCUCAAAAUACUCACAUGUGAGUCUUUGAAAACACAUAUCUGAUUAUACCUGUAAAUGCAAUAUAACCCUCA
Oreochromis niloticus (Nile tilapia) is the source of this 880-nucleotide long non-coding RNA. RefSeq lists it as uncharacterized. Lineage: Eukaryota; Metazoa; Chordata; Actinopteri; Cichliformes; Cichlidae. The transcript has 2 exons. The record is from RefSeq and is a predicted model, not a curated record.